UGAGGAAUAUUGGUCAAUGGGCGCAAGCCUGAACCAGCCAUCCCGCGUGCGGGAAGACGGCCCUAUGGGUUGUAAACCGCUUUUCCAGGGGGAGAAUUUUUCUGUCGUGACAGGAAUUGACGGUACCCUGGGAAUAAGCAUCGGCUAACUCCGUGCCAGCAGCCGCGGUAAUACGGAGGAUACGAGCGUUAUCCGGAUUUAUUGGGUUUAAAGGGUGCGUAGGCGGAUUGAUAAGUCAGUGGUGAAAACCUGCAGCUUAACUGUAGACUUGCCGUUGAUACUGUCAGUCUUGAGUGUGGUCAAGGUAGGCGGAAUGUGUAAUGUAGCGGUGAAAUGCUUAGAUAUUACACAGAACACCGAUUGCGAAGGCAGCUUACUGGGCCAUUACUGACGCUGAUGCACGAAAGCGUGGGGA
Molecule: ribosomal RNA, 415 nt
Filed under: uncultured bacterium
Lineage: Bacteria
Description: bacterial SSU rRNA
Rfam family: Bacterial small subunit ribosomal RNA
Source: RNAcentral